UGAGGAAUAUUGGUCAAUGGACGAGAGUCUGAACCAGCCAAGUAGCGUGAAGGAUGACUGCCCUAUGGGUUGUAAACUUCUUUUAUACGGGAAUAAAGUGAGGCACGUGUGCCUUUUUGUAUGUACCGUAUGAAUAAGGAUCGGCUAACUCCGUGCCAGCAGCCGCGGUAAUACGGAGGAUCCGAGCGUUAUCCGGAUUUAUUGGGUUUAAAGGGAGCGUAGGCGGACGCUUAAGUCAGUUGUGAAAGUUUGCGGCUCAACCGUAAAAUUGCAGUUGAUACUGGGUGUCUUGAGUACAGUAGAGGCAGGCGGAAUUCGUGGUGUAGCGGUGAAAUGCUUAGAUAUCACGAAGAACUCCGAUUGCGAAGGCAGCUCACUGGACUGCAACUGACACUGAUGCUCGAAAGUGUGGGUAUCAAACAGG
RNAcentral lists this ribosomal RNA (424 nucleotides) under uncultured bacterium. RNAcentral's name for it is "bacterial SSU rRNA". It matches the Rfam family "Bacterial small subunit ribosomal RNA", at positions 355 to 776 of the family's 1533-position model. The record is from RNAcentral.